RNAcentral lists this unclassified non-coding RNA (309 nucleotides) under uncultured fungus. RNAcentral's name for it is "partial contains small subunit ribosomal RNA, internal transcribed spacer 1, and 5.8S ribosomal RNA". The stretch from base 261 to 309 matches the Rfam family "5.8S ribosomal RNA", at positions 1 to 49 of the family's 154-position model. The record is from RNAcentral. Lineage: Eukaryota; Fungi.
CCAAACUUGGUCAUUUAGAGGAAGUACCGUAGGUGAACCUGCGGAAGGAUCAUUACAAGGUUUUCGGAAAAUGCCGCCUCUCUUAAGAGGAGGCGACAUUGAUAAACCACGAUCCAUCACUGUGUGUACUUAUUUGAGCUAAAAAAUUGGAGGGAGAGAGAGAGAGAGAGAUCUCUUUCUCUCCUCUCGCCAAAAAUUAGUUCUCAAAAUCUUUUUUUUUUCCUACGCUUUACUGUUGUCUGAUCUUAUACAGUAUAAUACAACUUCAACAACGGAUCUCUUGGCACUCGCAUCGAUGAAGAACGCAGC